Long non-coding RNA from Vicia villosa (hairy vetch), 1867 nucleotides. RefSeq lists it as uncharacterized. The record is from RefSeq and is a predicted model, not a curated record. NCBI's taxonomy places the organism in Eukaryota, Viridiplantae, Streptophyta, Magnoliopsida, Fabales, Fabaceae. The transcript has 3 exons.
UUUCAAUUUGAUUAUGGUCCUAUUGAGUGAUGUGACAUGUUUACCCGAAGUGAAGAAUUGAAGAAGGAGAUGUCAACAUUGCGUCUAAUUUCAGCAGAUUAAAUGUGUAUGAAAUGUUGGUGAGAAUCUCCCUUAACAAUCUCCAAAGCAGACCUUCUAGAUUGCAUCAAGGACCAAAUAAGAUCAAAAUUUGUUGAAGAGCCAAAAAAAAAAAAAGUAUUUUAUGGACAAAUAUAAUAAUUUAGGGGUUAUAUUUGUGUUUUACAAAAUGUUCUACUUCAUACUAUUAAGAUAUUUUUUAUCCGUUUUAUUGAUAGUAUUGAUAUGAAGAUAUUGUUUUUCUUUUAAUACAGAAAAUAUCAUACAAUGUGAACUAAAAUUCCGGUCAUGAACACCACCAACAUCAAAAUGUAUAAGAGAUUGUAAAUAAAAAGUAUGUUCAACAAAAGUGACAUGGAAGGGGUGAGUAUGACCAUAUUGUGCAAGCAUACAAGCACAAUGAUUUUUUUCUCUAGGAGCGAAGUAAAUAAUACUAUGAUAAAUGCUAGCAAUACUCUCUUUCCAACACUCACUUUUUUAUAGGUUGAAACAUGUGUGGGUCCUACCACUUUACGUGAGAUCCAUUUUCAAUGUGAGGGACUCACACAUGUUUUAACCAAUAAAAAAGUGAGUGUUGGAGAGAGUGUUGCUAGCACUCCUCAUAAUACUAUUUCAGUCUUUUUGGAACAAAUCCCAUAUUUUAUUGAUCAAUUAUAAGCAAAAGAGUGUAAUACUAAUUCGUAUGACCUUUUGUGUUCAUAUGAAAUAGAGAAAAAGAAUAGUAUAUCUGAAAGAUGAUGUUUCCAAGCAAGAUGCCACUCCGAAAGGCCCAAAUUUCUGCAAAGAAGGCACUAGUAGAAAUCACCUUAGAAUACAAACUUAUGAUAAUCAUAUUAUUCUGGUCUUACGUGAUAUCUCCAAAGGUCUAAGAACAAGUAGAAAAGCAAUAUGCACUGUCAAAUUCAUUUUGAGGAUCCUAAUUGCAGUCAGUAUAGACCAAAGUAAUGUUGGAGUAAUAUUACCAAUUGUUUUUUUUGCCAUCUAUGGUGUUUACGUGGGGAGUCUCCUUGCCUACUGACGAGCUGAAUUCUGUUAGAAAAUCAGUCAGUACCUAUGAUUUGAUAUUUCCUAUGGAUAUAUGGUUGAUAUCAUAGUCAAAUAGUUCAACCGACUAAGAUACCAUCUUCCCUGUUAGAUCUGACUUCUUCAGGACCUGCCAAAUGAGAUAAUUGGUUUUUACCAUUAUCUAAUGCCCUUGAAAGUAAGGUAUGGAUUUUCUUGCAGUUAUUAGGACUGACAAAGAAAGUCUUUCAAUCUUCUAAUAUCAGACCUCAAUACCCUUAAAAACCUUGUUCACGAAAUACACAAGUCGCUCGACUUUAUUUAUCUCUUGGACGAGCACCAAACUCAUCGCUUGGUUAGUAACAGACAUGUAUAUGUAGAGUGGCAAAACUGCUAUUGGGCGUGUCAAGAUGGGCAGCAACGCUAUGCAGACCUUUAAGUUUAAGAACGUCUCCUCACACUCGCUCGUCUAUUCGAACUUCUCCUUUUUCUUCAAAGUGGCAAAGAAAUGAAAAACAUUGUCACCUAUACAAGAAAGGGUACGAGGUAAGACAGCUAAAAGGCCUGUUAGUUGUUGAACUUCCUUAAAAUUGGAAGGGCUCUUCAUGACAAUGAUGGUCUGACAAUUAUCUCGGUUCACCUCUAUACAUCUCUUAGUUAACAUAAAACUUAGAAAAUUUCCCGCUUGUACGUCAAAUGAGCACUUAGCGGGAUUUAGGUUCAUGAUGUAGCUCCUGACCGAUUCCAAGAUGUCUUCUAUGUCUGU